RNAcentral lists this ribosomal RNA (518 nucleotides) under uncultured bacterium. RNAcentral describes it as "bacterial SSU rRNA". It matches the Rfam family "Bacterial small subunit ribosomal RNA", at positions 37 to 518 of the family's 1533-position model. The record is from RNAcentral.
UGGCGGCGCGCCUAAUACAUGCAAGUCGAGCGCGGGAAGCCGGCAAUCACCCUUCGGGGUGUGCGCCUGUGGAACGAGCGGCGGAUGGGUGAGUAUCACGUGGGCAACCUGCCUGUAAGAUUGGGAUAACUCGCGGAAACGUGAGCUAAUACCGAAUGAAGUCUUUCACCGCCUGGUGAAAGGAUGAAAGAUGGCUCUUGAGCUAUCACUUACAGAUGGGCCCGCGGCGCAUUAGCUAGUUGGUGGGGUAAAGGCCUACCAAGGCGACGAUGCGUAGCCGACCUGAGAGGGUGAUCGGCCACACUGGGACUGAGACACGGCCCAGACUCCUACGGGAGGCAGCAGUAGGGAAUCUUCCGCAAUGGACGAAAGUCUGACGGAGCAACGCCGCGUGAGUGAAUGAAGGUCUUCGGAUCGUAAAACUCUGUUGUCAGGGAAGAACAAGUUGUGUUCUAACAGGACAUGACCUUGACGGUACCUGACCAGAAAGCCCCGGCUAACUACGUGCCAGCAGCUGC